ACAUUAACGAGUAAGGGGUUUUGCGCCCCGGGGGCCUCGGCUCCGACUCCUCACCCUCUGUGUACCUACCUCUGUUGCUUUGGCGGGCUUCGGCUAACCCCGACGUCGGUCCGGGGGCGGCCCCGGGCUCGCGAGCGUCCGCCGGAGGCCAAUCUAACUCUUGUUUAUCAGUGAAGUCUGAGGAGAAAUUCAAUAACUAAAACUUUCAACAACGGAUCUCUUGGUUCUGGCAUCGAUGAAGAACGCAGCGAAAUGCGAUAAGUAAUGUGAAUUGCAGAAUUCAGUGAAUCAUCGAAUCUUUGAACGCACAUUGCGCCCCUUGGUAUUCCGAGGGGCAUGCCUGUUCGAGCGUCAUUGCAACCCUCAAGCACUGCUUGGUAUUGGGCUUCGCCCCCUGGGCGUGCCCGAAAGUCAGUGGCGGUCCACGGGAGACUUCGAGCGUAGUAAAUUUUCAUUCGCUUUGGAAGGCUCUCGCUGCAACCGGCCAGACAACCCCUUUAAUUUCAAUGGUUGACCUCGGAUCAGGUAGGGAUACCCGCUGAACUUAAGCAUAUCAA
RNAcentral lists this ribosomal RNA (557 nucleotides) under Lecidea tessellata. Its description in RNAcentral is "eukaryotic LSU rRNA". The stretch from base 201 to 354 matches the Rfam family "5.8S ribosomal RNA". Lineage: Eukaryota; Fungi; Ascomycota; Lecanoromycetes; Lecideales; Lecideaceae. The record is from RNAcentral.